This 256-nucleotide small RNA is filed under the name Gorilla gorilla gorilla (western lowland gorilla). Its description in RNAcentral is "Metazoan signal recognition particle RNA (ENSGGOG00000038994.1)". The stretch from base 1 to 148 matches the Rfam family "Metazoan signal recognition particle RNA". Rfam says of the family: The signal recognition particle (SRP) is a universally conserved ribonucleoprotein. It is involved in the co-translational targeting of proteins to membranes. The eukaryotic SRP consists of a 300-nucleotide 7S RNA and six proteins: SRPs 72, 68, 54, 19, 14, and 9. Lineage: Eukaryota; Metazoa; Chordata; Mammalia; Primates; Hominidae. The record is from RNAcentral.
GCUGGGCGUGGUGGUGCGUGCCUGUAAUCCCAGCUACUCAGGAGGCUGAGGCAGGAGAAUCGCUUGAACCCGGGAGGCAGAGAUUGCAGUGAGCUGAAAUCACACAACUGAACUCCAGCCUGGGUGACAGAGCGAGACUCCGUCUCAAAAAAAAAAAAAAAAUUAUCUUGGGCUACACAUAAGGCUGAAGUGCAAUGGUGCGAUCUUGGCUCACUGCAACCUCCGCCUCCCAGGUUCAAGCAAUUCUCCUGCCUCA